This 470-nucleotide ribosomal RNA is filed under the name uncultured Enterobacteriaceae bacterium. RNAcentral describes it as "bacterial SSU rRNA". It matches the Rfam family "Bacterial small subunit ribosomal RNA", at positions 908 to 1382 of the family's 1533-position model. Lineage: Bacteria; Pseudomonadati; Pseudomonadota; Gammaproteobacteria; Enterobacterales; Enterobacteriaceae. The record is from RNAcentral.
AAUUGACGGGGCCCGCACAAGCGGUGAGCAUGUGGUUUAAUUCGAUGCAACGCGAAGACCUUACCUGGUCUUGACAUCCACGGAAGUUUUCAGAGAUGAGAAUGUGCCUUCGGGAACCGUGAGACAGGUACUGCAUGGCUGUCGUCAGCUCGUGUUGUGAAAUGUUGGGUUAAGUCCCGCAACGAGCGCAACCCUUAUCCCUUUGUUGCCAGCGGUCCGGCCGGGAACUCAAAGGAGACUGCCAGUGAUAAACUGGAGGAAGGUGGGAUGACGUCAAGUCAUCAUGGCCCUUACGACCAGGGCUACACACGUGCUACAAUGGCGCAUACAAAGAGAAGCGACCUCGCGAGAGCAAGCGGACCUCAUAAAGUGCGUCGUAGUCCGGAUUGGAGUCUGCAACUCGACUCCAUGAAGUCGGAAUCGCUAGUAAUCGUGGAUCAGAAUGCCACGGUCGAAUACGUUCCGGCCUU